This 346-nucleotide small nuclear RNA is filed under the name Neogale vison (American mink). Its description in RNAcentral is "Neovison vison (American mink) 7SK RNA (ENSNVIG00000019215.1)". It matches the Rfam family "7SK RNA", at positions 1 to 280 of the family's 331-position model. Rfam says of the family: 7SK was discovered as an abundant small nuclear RNA in the mid-70s but a possible function has only recently been suggested. Two independent studies have found that 7SK RNA binds the CDK9/cyclin T complex (known as elongation factor P-TEFb). Lineage: Eukaryota; Metazoa; Chordata; Mammalia; Carnivora; Mustelidae. The record is from RNAcentral.
GGAUGUGAGGGCGAUCUGGCUGCGACAUCUGUCACCCCAUUGAUCGCCAGGGUUGAUUCGGCUGAUCUGGCUGGCUAGGCGGGUGUCCCCUUCCUCCCUCACCGCUCCAUGCGCGUCCCUCCCGAAGCUGCGCGCUCGGCCGAAGAGGACGACCUUCCCCGCUAGAGGAGAGAACCGUUCUUCCUCCGUCCAGGGUAUACGAGUAGCUGCGCUCUCCUGCUAGAACCUCCAAACAAGCUCUCAUAAAAUCUUUUUUUCCACUCUAUCACUAUGGCUAUGAACAGUGCUGAGCACAGAGUAAGUGUUCAAUAAAUACUUUUAAAAUGAAUGAAAAACAUCCUUAAAA